RNAcentral lists this ribosomal RNA (588 nucleotides) under Geotrichum candidum. RNAcentral describes it as "partial large subunit ribosomal RNA". It matches the Rfam family "Eukaryotic large subunit ribosomal RNA", at positions 38 to 667 of the family's 3401-position model. The record is from RNAcentral. Lineage: Eukaryota; Fungi; Ascomycota; Dipodascomycetes; Dipodascales; Dipodascaceae.
GCAUAUCAAUAAGCGGAGGAAAAGAAACCAACAGGGAUUGCCUUAGUACGGCGAGUGAAGCGGCAAAAGCUCAAAUUUGAAAUCGGCCACCAGGUCGAGUUGUAAUUUGUAGAUUGUAUCUUGAGAGCGGAUUAAAGUCUGUUGGAACACAGCGCCUUAGAGGGUGACAGCCCCGUAAAAUCUAUUCUCAUUGUAAGAUACUUUCGAAGAGUCGAGUUGUUUGGGAAUGCAGCUCUAAGUGGGAGGUAAAUUCCUUCUAAAGCUAAAUAUUGACGAGAGACCGAUAGCGAACAAGUACUGUGAAGGAAAGAUGAAAAGCACUUUGAAAAGAGAGUGAAAAAGUACGUGAAAUUGUUAAAAGGGAAGGGUAUUGAAUCAGACUUGGUGCUGUUGUUCAACUGUGUUUCGGCAUAGUGUACUCAGCAGUACUAGGCCAAGGUGGGGUGUUUGGGAGUGAAAAAGAAGUUGGAACGUAACUCUUCGGAGUGUUAUAGCCUACUUUCAUAGCUCCUCAGGCGCCUCAAGGACUGCGCUUCGGCCAAGGCCUUGGCAUAAUGAUUCUAUACCGCCCGUCUUGAAACACGGACC